This 459-nucleotide ribosomal RNA is filed under the name uncultured bacterium. RNAcentral describes it as "partial 16S ribosomal RNA". It matches the Rfam family "Bacterial small subunit ribosomal RNA", at positions 29 to 507 of the family's 1533-position model. The record is from RNAcentral.
AAUGAACGCUGGCGGCAGGCCUAACACAUGCAAGUCGAGCGGGAGCAUCGGGCUUGCUGCUGGAUGCGGCGGCGGACGGGGGGGAAAUGCCCAUGAGUUUGCCUGGUCGUCCGGGAUAACGUCCGGAAACCGGCGCUAAUACUUCAUACGAACAGUGAGCGACAUUGGGGGGGCCUCGGAUCUCUCGGUCUCGGAGGAGCGUAGAAGGGAUUAGAUGGUUGGGAGGGUAAAGGCCUACCAAGGCGACGAAGCGUAACUGGUAUGAGAGGAUGGUCCGCCACUCUGGGAGUGAGACACGGUCCAGACUAUUACGGGAGGCAGCAGUGGGGAAUAUUGGAAAAUCGGCGGAAGCCUGAUCCAGCAAGGCCGGGUGAGUGAUGAAGGCCUUAGGGUUGUAAAGCUCUUUUACCCGGGAUGAUAAUGACAGUACCGGGAGAAUAAGCUCCGGCUAACUCCGUG